RNAcentral lists this unclassified non-coding RNA (378 nucleotides) under uncultured bacterium. RNAcentral describes it as "contains 16S-23S intergenic spacer region". The record is from RNAcentral.
UCCGGUUUGUCACCGGCAGUCUCCCAUGAGUCCCCAACUGAAUGCUGGCAACAUGGAACGGGGGUUGCGCUCGUUGCGGGACUUAACCCAACAUCUCACGACACGAGCUGACGACAGCCAUGCGGCACCUCUAUGGCGGCUCCCGAAGGAGAAGGACUGUUUCCAGACCGGUCCACCACAGUUCAAGCCCAGGUAAGGUUCUUCGCGUUGCAUCGAAUUAAACCACAUGCUCCACCGCUUGUGCGGGCCCCCGUCAAUUCCUUUGAGUUUCAGUCUUGCAACCGUACUCCCCAGGCGGAGUGCUUAACGCGUUAGCUUCGGCACCACGAGGGUCAAAGCCCGUGACACCUAGCACUCAUCGUUUACGGCGUGGACUAC